UGAUCAUGGCUCAGAACGAACGCUGGCGGCAGGCCUAACACAUGCAAGGCGAACGAGAAGCCUUCUUCGGUUGGGUAAAGUGGCGGACGGGUGAGUAACGCGUAGGAAUCUACCCAGCUGUGGGGGACAACUCGAGGAAACUCGAGCUAAUACCGCAUAGUCUCUUAGGAGUAAAGAAGGCCGUUUCCAAAGAUUUAUCGCCAAAGGAUUGGCCCGCGCAUGAUUAGUUUGUUGGUGAGGUAAUGGCUCACCAAGACUACGAUCAUUAGCUGGUCUGAGAGGACGAUCAGCCACACUGGAACUGAGACACGGUCCAGACUCCUACGGGAGGCAGCAGUGAGGAAUAUUGCACAAUGGGGGAAACCCUGAUGCAGCCAUGCCGCGUGUAUGAAGAAGGCCUUAGGGUUGUAAAGUACUUUCAAUAGUGAAGAUUAUGACGGUAGCUAUAGAAGAAGCCCCGGCUAAAUUCGUGCCAGCAGCCGCCGCCUAAAUUCGAGCCAGCAGCGGCGGUAAUACGAAUGGGGCAAGCGUUGUUCGGAAUAACUGGGCUUAAAGCGUGCGCAGGCGGAUAUGAAAGUCAGAAGUGAAAGCCCCGGGCUCAACCUGGGAAUUGCGUUCCAAACUGGCAAGCUAGAGUAUGGUAGAGGAAGGUAGAAUUCCCUGUGUAGCGGUGAAAUGCGUAGAUAUAGGGAGGAAUACCAGUGGCGAAGGCGGCCUUCUGGACCAAUACUGACGCUGAGGUGCGAAAGCGUGGGGAGCAAACAGGAUUAGAUACCCUGGUAGUCCACGCCGUAAACGAUGUCAACUAGCCGUUGGGCCCCUUGAGGGUUUAGUGGCGCAGCUAACGCGAUAAGUUGACCGCCUGGGGAGUACGGCCGCAAGGCUAAAACUCAAAUGAAUUGACGGGGGCCCGCACAAGCGGUGGAGCAUGUUGUUUAAUUCGAUGCAACGCGAAGAACCUUACCAUCCCUUGACAUCCUAGGAACUUGGUAGAGAUACCUUGGUGCCUUCGGGAACCUAGUGACAGGUGCUGCAUGGCUGUCGUCAGCUCGUGUCGUGAGAUGUUGGGUUAAGUCCCGUAACGAGCGCAACCCUUAUCCUUAUUUGCCAGCGAGUAAUGUCGGGAACUCUAAGGAGACUGCCGGUGACAAACCGGAGGAAGGCGGGGACGAGGUCAAGUCAUCAUGGCCCUCACGGGAUGGGCUACAAACGUGCUACAAUGGGGGGCACAAAGGGCUGCAAACUCGCGAGAGUAAGCGAAUCCCAAAAAACCCCUCGUAGUCCGGAUAGGAGUCUGCAACUCGACUCCUUGAAGUCGGAAUCGCUAGUAAUCGCGAAUCAGAAUGUCGCGGUGAAUACGUUCCCGGGCCUUGUACACACCGCCCGUCACGUCAUGGAAGUGGGUUGCACCAGAAGUAGCUAGUCUAACCUUCGGGACGACGGUUACCACGGUGUGAUUCAUGACUGGGACGAAGUCGUAACAAGGUA
This 1488-nucleotide ribosomal RNA is filed under the name uncultured prokaryote. Its description in RNAcentral is "partial 16S ribosomal RNA". It matches the Rfam family "Bacterial small subunit ribosomal RNA". The record is from RNAcentral.